This 1852-nucleotide long non-coding RNA is filed under the name Gossypium barbadense (sea-island cotton). RNAcentral's name for it is "long non-coding RNA (GBAR_LNC005098)". Lineage: Eukaryota; Viridiplantae; Streptophyta; Magnoliopsida; Malvales; Malvaceae. The record is from RNAcentral.
AAGCAAGGGAAGACUCAUGUCGAAACAUAGGCACACAUACACGUCAACAAACAAUUAAACAGAGUCAACCCGAACUUGAGAUAAGAAGUCGCCAAUGGCUCGAGGAGACCGAGUUGACUCGAUAAACACACAAGUCCACCUUGACUGGAGACUAGGAUAGGCUGAGGGCGCAUUUUAUUAAUCGGAAAUGGCUUCUUUUUGCUUGAAACAAAUAAGUGGCCUGGUCGACAAGGAGACAACAAGAGGUAAAGGCAUUUUGGACGACGAAUGUUGGGCCACAGAAAAUAAAGGAGUAAUGUAAGGCGGCUGUGGGAGAUUGAAAGAGAAAGGAAAUAGUGGAAAAGAAGGAAAGGGUGAACAUGAGACGAAAGCAAAGGUGAGAGUUUCUUUUUUUAGGUUUUACAUAUUUUUCCAGCAAUCAUAUUUUUUGAACAUAAAUAUUUAGGUUUUCUCAUCAAUUCAAGUAAUAAGCAUGCCAUAAUCAAACUACAUAAAUUAAUAAUUAUUUGUAAUUUUUUUCAAAAUCCAUCCAGCAAGUUCUACCCCUUUUGUCUUUUUCCUAUUUUCCCCUGAGAAGAGAAGAUCAAAGAGUACAUAAAAUUAGCAACCAUAGCCAAUGAGCUGUAAUGUCCAAUUGAUCAGUUUUAAAAAGACAGAAGAUAUAUCAUACAUAUAAGAGGCAAUUAAAACAGACAAUGGAAACAAGUUUUUGAUGAAAUUUCGACUCAUAAAAGGAGAUUUGAACCAAAACAAAAUUAGUGAUGAGGAAAGGUUUAAUAUCUUCCUCAUCUGCAACUUAGCCAGAGAUUCCAAGUGGGACUGUGAAGAUGCCCUGAACCAAACCACGCCAGGGGUUCAACAUCCUUCCAAGCUCAUUCAUUAGGAACUUCCUAAUGACGCACAUUUUUAUGACAACAGGCUUGUUCCUUUCUUUCGAAAAAUCAUUGACUUGGAUCAAAUACUUGAAACCGUUUUUUGAAAUUUUCAGCCAGUUUUGUUUCCUCAUCUUUGCCAAUUGUACAAUUCCUCCAAUCAGCCCUAUCAGCCACGUUCAAUAGGCCAGCCACAACCUGCAUCAAUUUCAUACCUAUCAUUCUUUUUUUCAUUGCUACAGAUCUCUUAAACAUUGGCUUUAGAUAUUCAAGUAUGUUACUAACUUCAUAAUUAUUACCCCCCCCCCCAACACACUUAUAUGAACAAGUCUCGAAUAUUAGAAUAUUCAUAACAGCAGAUUAUUCUGCAGCAAAUGACUGAUUAUUCACCAAUGGUAACCUAAAUCACCUUUCCGCAAAACAAUUUUAGGUUUAUGGUGUGAGUUCCAAGAUAUAACACAGCCCCAAUUCCUAUAUGGAUGUCAACUGAAGCAUGAACACCCAUCUCAUUGACAAGAACUCCCUAGCUAAGGGAAAUGGUUUUUUGCUUUCCCCCAAUAACAAUAGAAAGCUUCUCAUCACUACCUUCUUUAUUAUCUGUUUCCUAUUUUUGGAAAAAAUGUUACAAUUGACAUAAUUCAAAAGAAGUUAUGUCAGUCAUUUAUGAAAAUGGAAAGCAAUCAUGAAAAUCCAUGUUAAAGAAUAAAACAAACUAAUUACCAACAAUCUAAAAAGGAGGGCAAUUUACUUAAGGAAUAAGGAUAGAAUUCAAGGCAUCUAGUUGAGAAAUAAAAUGCAAAAUUCAUUUUCUUAGGUUUCAAUUUGGUACGCAGGUGCCCAGGUUCAAAUAGGCAGCAGCAUCACAUUCAAUGGAGAAAUUAAGAAUCUUACCUCACGACCAAAUUGGGCAGGAAACUUCUCAUUCUCUUCAAUUAAAUGUAAUAGGAUUGAACCUUCAGGCAGUUCCACAUAGAAGCAGC